GGGGGGGUCGCAUAGUGGCCUAGUGCGGGCGCCUGCUAAGUGCCUAUCCUGAGUAAUUGGGAUCGCGGGUUCGAAUCCCGCCCCCUCCGCCA
RNAcentral lists this transfer RNA (92 nucleotides) under SAR202 cluster bacterium Casp-Chloro-G3. RNAcentral's name for it is "tRNA-Ser". It matches the Rfam family "tRNA". From Rfam's summary of the family: Transfer RNA (tRNA) molecules are approximately 80 nucleotides in length. Their secondary structure includes four short double-helical elements and three loops (D, anti-codon, and T loops). Lineage: Bacteria; Bacillati; Chloroflexota; Dehalococcoidia. The record is from RNAcentral. RNAcentral also lists the same sequence under 1 other name.